CUAGGAUUAGAUACCCUAUUAUUUAAAAUGUAAAAACUAAAGUAUUAAUAGAUAUGAUCUUUAAACUUAAAAAAUUUGGCGGUAUUUUAGUCUAUUCAGAGGAACCUGUUUUAUAAUCGAUAAUCCACGUUGGACCUUACUUUAAUUUAUAGAUUAGUUUAUAUACCGUCGUUAUAAAAAAUUUUAUAAGAAUAAUAAUUUUUAAAAUUUUAUAUCAGAUCAAGGUGUAGCUUAUAUUAAAGAAAAUAAUGGGUUACAAUAAAAUUAUUUAUAUGAAUAUAAAAAUGAAAAAUUUAUUGAAAAUGGAUUUGAAAGUAAAAUUAAAUAGAUUUUUAAUUUGAUUUUAGCUCUAAAAUAUGUACAUAUCGCCCGUCACUCUUAUUAUUAAAAUAAGAUAAG
Molecule: ribosomal RNA, 399 nt
Filed under: Melaloncha gomezi
Lineage: Eukaryota; Metazoa; Arthropoda; Insecta; Diptera; Phoridae
Description: partial 12S ribosomal RNA
Source: RNAcentral